AUUGAACGCUGGCGGCAGGCCUAACACAUGCAAGUCGAACGAGUGGCGGACGGGUGAGUAACGUCUGGGAAAUUGCUAGAUGGAGGGGGAUAAGUACUGGAAACGGUAGCUAAUACCGCAUACAAUCGGAUGUGCCCAGAUGGGAUUAGCGAGUAGGUGGGGUAACGGCUCACCUAGGCGACGAUCCCUAGCUGGUCUGAGAGGCUGACCAGCCACACUGGAACUGAGACCCGGUCCAGACUCCUACGGGAGGCAGCAGUGGGGAAUAUUCCGCAAUGGGCGCAAGCCUGAUGCAGCCAUGCCGCGUGUAUGAAGAAGGCCUUCGGUUUGUAAAGUACUUUCAGUGUGGAGGCGUUACUCGCAGAUGAAGCACCGGCUAACUCCGUGCCAGCAGCCGCGGUAAUUC
This 406-nucleotide ribosomal RNA is filed under the name uncultured bacterium. Its description in RNAcentral is "partial 16S ribosomal RNA". It matches the Rfam family "Bacterial small subunit ribosomal RNA", at positions 30 to 526 of the family's 1533-position model. The record is from RNAcentral.